CUUAACACAUGCAAGUCGAACGGAAAGGCCCUGCUUUUGUGGGGUGCUCGAGUGGCGAACGGGUGAGUAACACGUGAGUAACCUGCCCUUGACUUUGGGAUAACUUCAGGAAACUGGGGCUAAUACCGGAUAGGAGCUCCUGCUGCAUGGUGGGGGUUGGAAAGUUUCGGCGGUUGGGGGUGGACUCGCGGCUUAUCAGCUUGUUGGUGGGGUAGUGGCUUACCAAGGCUUUGACGGGUAGCCGGCCUGAGAGGGUGACCGGCCACAUUGGGACUGAGAUACGGCCCAGACUCCUACGGGAGGCAGCAGUGGGGAAUAUUGCACAAUGGGCGGAAGCCUGAUGCAGCAACGCCGCGUGCGGGAUGACGGCCUUCGGGUUGUAAACCGCUUUCGCCUGUGACGAAGCGUGAGUGACGGUAAUGGGUAAAGAAGCACCGGCUAACUACGUGCCAGCAGCCGCGGUGAUACGUAGGGUGCGAGCGUUGUCCGGAUUUAUUGGGCGUAAAGGGCUCGUAGGUGGUUGAUCGCGUCGGAAGUGUAAUCUUGGGGCUUAACCCUGAGCGUGCUUUCGAUACGGGUUGACUUGAGGAAGGUAGGGGAGAAUGGAAUUCCUGGUGGAGCGGUGGAAUGCGCAGAUAUCAGGAGGGACACCAGUGGCGAAGGCGGUUCUCUGGGCCUUUCCUGACGCUGAGGAGCGAAAGCGUGGGGAGCGAACAGGCUUAGAUACCCUGGUAGUCCACGCUGUAAACGGUGGGUACUAGGUGUGGGGUCCAUUCCACGGGUUCCGUGCCGUAGCUAACGCUUUAAGUACCCCGCCUGGGGAGUACGGCCGCAAGGCUAAAACUCAAAGGAAUUGACGGGGCCCCGCACAAGCGGCGGAGCAUGCGGAUUAAUUCGAUGCAACGCGUAGAACCUUACCUGGGUUUGACAUGGAUCGGGAGUGCUCAGAGAUGGGUGUGCCUCUUUUGGGGUCGGUUCACAGGUGGUGCAUGGCUGUCGUCAGCUCGUGUCGUGAGAUGUUGGGUUAAGUCCCGCAACGAGCGCAACCCUUGUUCACUGUUGCCAGCACGUUAUGGUGGGGACUCAGUGGAGACCGCCGGGGUCAACUCGGAGGAAGGUGGGGAUGACGUCAAGUCAUCAUGCCCCUUAUGUCCAGGGCUUCACGCAUGCUACAAUGGCUGGUACAGAGAGUGGCGAGCCUGUGAGGGUGAGCGAAUCUCGGAAAGCCGGUCUCAGUUCGGAUUGGGGUCUGCAACUCGACCUCAUGAAGUCGGAGUCGCUAGUAAUCGCAGAUCAGCAACGCUGCGGUGAAUACGUUCCCGGGGCUUGUACACACCGCCCGUCAAGUCAUGAAAGUUGGUAACACCCGAAGCCGGUGGCCUAACCGUUGUGGGGGAGCCGUCGAAGGUGGGACUGGUGAUUAGGACUAAGUCGU
This 1435-nucleotide ribosomal RNA is filed under the name uncultured organism. RNAcentral's name for it is "16S ribosomal RNA". It matches the Rfam family "Bacterial small subunit ribosomal RNA". The record is from RNAcentral.